RNAcentral lists this ribosomal RNA (196 nucleotides) under uncultured bacterium. RNAcentral's name for it is "partial 16S ribosomal RNA". It matches the Rfam family "Bacterial small subunit ribosomal RNA", at positions 1297 to 1500 of the family's 1533-position model. The record is from RNAcentral.
AUUGGAGUCUGCAACUCGACUCCAUGAAGCUGGAUUCGCUAGUAAUCGCGCAUCAGCCAUGGCGCGGUGAAUACGUUCCCGGGCCUUGUACACACCGCCCGUCAAGCCAUGGGAGCCGGGGGUGCCUGAAGUACGUGACCGCGAGGAGCGUCCUAGGGCAAAACUGGUGACUGGGGCUAAGUCGUAACAAGGUAAC